CCAUACGAAGGACGAAAACAAAAAAAACACAUUUUAAUAUGAUAAAAAAUAGAUUUAAUAACUGCUCAAUAGGAAUGAUUAGGCUACUAUUUUUACAUAUAAUUUAAAUAGUCGUAAUUGUUCAAAUUAAUUGCCAGGAGAUAGAAAUUGCAAACCUAAAUUCAAAUCCAAUUUUAACUUUGAGAAUCAAAUCUUGUAAAAUUCAAACAGGAAAUGUCUAUAUUAUUCAUCCUAUAAACACUACAAAUUUAGAAGUUACAAUCAAUUCUUUGACAAAUUUAGCGUAUAAAAAGAUUAAUAAUCAUUUAUCUGAAAUUGUUAAACACAAAAUUAACUCUUAUAUUCCAAUUUCAUUCAAAUACAACCACGAAAACGUUUAGCUAGGAGCCUGAACCUUAUCGGAACGACUUGGAAAUGGAUCAGUGGAAGCCCGGACGCCGAAGACCUUCACAUUAUCAACACAACCCUGAACAACUUAAUCGAAAGCAACAACCAACAAUAUAAAGUCAACGAACAGAUUGGUAAAAGAUUGGAGUCAUUAACCAGAGCAGUCAAUAAGGUAAUUGAAAGCAAACAUGAAAACCAGAUCAUACUGAAUGAAAUAGAAACCAUCACCACCAUUAUUAAUAUUGACCUGAUCAACAAGAUACUAGAAGAAAUUCAGGACGCAAUAUUGUGGACUAAAAUAUCAGUUGCCAACAGCAAAAUUCUCACAACCCAAGAGAUACACACAAUUCGAGUAUUAUUGGAGGAUCAAGGAGUUUACACAGAUCUGCCAGACGAAGCACUAAACUUAGUGCAACCCAAAAUUGCCGUUAACCACGAAACCCUACUGUACAUCUUACGUGUACCAAAACUGGAGAGAGAAGAAUCAGCAAUACUUCAAAUCCAUGCGCUGAAUAAUAACAAUUCAAUGAUUAGGAAAUAUCCAACACACCUGGUUAAAAGCAGUCAUGGACCAUUCACAACCACCAAACCUGAUGAAUUCAUUCAACUUAGUAGUUACAUCAUAACUAUCAGAAACCAGCAAUUUUCAUCAAUCAGCCGAAUCGUUCAUCCGUCCAUCAUUCAAGGGGCUAUGUACAAUCUGAUAAUACACCACCAAUUAGAGGAGGACGACAUAAAUUAUCUCAACAAUAAAACUAUAACCAACAGGAAAAUGAUUAAUCACGUUUACUUGAAGCAGUUUACAAAUCAACUUUGGUAUUGGAGUUUAUUUGGAGGGUUAACACUCUCAACCAUUAUAACCAUAACAUUAGCUGUGUUUGCUCUACUCUAUUACAGACAAACUGUUCGUUACUUCAUUUCUAAGCUAACCAAAAGAGACCCCAAAUCUUCAUCGCAGAAUCCCAUUGAAGACGCGUGAGGCCACGCUUUUUUCACCCCCCGGAGGAGUUAUGAUACAAUAUGCACAUCAACCGUAAUAGCGACAACAAGAGGGCCCUGCCAACAGAGAAGCACCGUCAGCAGAACCCCUGGACUUCGAACCCAAUCAGCCGUUGUCACCCAGAAAGUAAUAAUGCACCAUCAGCAGAAUUCCCCACCGGUCGAUCACCGAUGUUCCAAAUAGGCAGGCAUAGGAAAUGUUAAGUUAGCAAUAAUAAAUUAUAAAAGGUAGUGAAUGACAGUGAAUUGGGCAGUUCAUAGUUAGUAAGCAGUGAAUUCAGAUGUAAUUAGUGUAAAGUUUGAUUAAUAAAUUAUUUUUUUUUGAUUCCGUAA
Armigeres subalbatus is the source of this 1719-nucleotide long non-coding RNA. RefSeq lists it as uncharacterized. The record is from RefSeq and is a predicted model, not a curated record. NCBI's taxonomy places the organism in Eukaryota, Metazoa, Arthropoda, Insecta, Diptera, Culicidae. The transcript is spliced from 2 exons.